AUUUUGUGUUUGUUCUUUCUUGUAAAGCUAUUAUUGCAUUCCAUAUUAACAUUAUAUAUGGGAGCCAAGCUCUUGAACUGACAUCCUAAUAUUGCUAUACAAUUCACCAGCCUGACCACAGCCGAUAUCCCUCGCCUCUUCAUCACAGGAGAUUGAGGAUUCGAGCCUCCAGGAUCAAAAGUAAGCAGAGUAAAAGGCAUAUUGGUUCAGCUCUUAGGCAAUAGAAGUUUGAGCUUGAGAUAGUGGAGAGAAAAUGGGUUGAAAAAUGUGAUUUUGAUGAAUGGGUUGUUCAACGAGUUACUUGGACAGAACUUAAUAAGGGCGAAGAUUCAGUGGUUGCGUGAAUGGAAGGAGCGGGUAUAAGUACUUAUGUUGGUUUGAUCCUCCUGUUUGUGACACAACACGUAGAGUGAUUUCUGAUUUUUGCGUCAAAUUAAAGAGUACGGAGAUGAAAUGAAGCGUUUGAAGAUGGUGCACAUGGAUGAACUACAAGAAGUGAAGAGAGGAAGCAAGUAGCUAAAAUAUGUUAUGUUUGUUGUUUUUAUUGGUCUUAGUAUAUGUAACAUUUUGGAUGUUGUAAUGUUAGUUUAUAGUUUGGACAAGUUGUUUUAGUGUAAUUAUGUGAUCAUGUAAUGACAUUUUGGUGGAGCUAUAUAUAAGACUUAAGUUCUCAUUU
This is a long non-coding RNA of Daucus carota subsp. sativus, 676 nucleotides long. RefSeq lists it as uncharacterized. The record is from RefSeq and is a predicted model, not a curated record. The transcript has 2 exons. Lineage: Eukaryota; Viridiplantae; Streptophyta; Magnoliopsida; Apiales; Apiaceae.